This 851-nucleotide ribosomal RNA is filed under the name uncultured bacterium. RNAcentral's name for it is "bacterial SSU rRNA". It matches the Rfam family "Bacterial small subunit ribosomal RNA", at positions 60 to 927 of the family's 1533-position model. The record is from RNAcentral.
AGUCGAGCGAUGAACACCUUCGGGUGUGAAUUAGCGGCGAACGGGUGAGGAACACGUGAAGAAUCUGCCUUCAACUCUGGGAUAACUCCGGGAAACCGGGGCUAAUACCGGAUAUGAGCCUUGAUCGCAUGAUCGGGGCUGGAAAGUUUUUCGGUUGAAGAUGACUUCGCGGCCUAUCAGCUUGUUGGUGAGGUAAUGGCUCACCAAGGCGACGACGGGUAGCCGGCCUGAGAGGGCGACCGGCCACACUGGGACUGAGACACGGCCCAGACUCCUACGGGAGGCAGCAGUGGGGAAUAUUGGGCAAUGGAGGAAACUCUGACCCAGCGACGCCGCGUGAGGGAUGAAGGCCUUCGGGUUGUAAACCUCUUUCAGUAGGGAAGAAGCGAAAGUGACGGUACCUACAGAAGAAGCACCGGCUAACUAUGUGCCAGCAGCCGCGGUAAUACAUAGGGUGCAAGCGUUGUCCGGAAUUAUUGGGCGUAAAGAGCUCGUAGGUGGUUCGAUACGUCGGAUGUGAAAAUCAGGGGCUCAACCCCUGACCUGCAUCCGAUACGGUCGAGCUAGAGUUUGGUAGGGGAGACUGGAAUUCCUGGUGUAGCGGUGGAAUGCGCAGAUAUCAGGAGGAACACCGAUGGCGAAGGCAGGUCUCUGGGCCAAUACUGACACUGAGGAGCGAAAGCGUGGGGAGCGAACAGGAUUAGAUACCCUGGUAGUCCACGCCGUAAACGGUGGGCGCUAGUUGUGCGAACCUUCCACGGUUUGUGCGACGCAGCUAACGCAUUAAGCGCCCCGCCUGGGGAGUACGAUCGCAAGAUUAAAACUCAAAGGAAUUGACGGGGCCCCGCACA